This 254-nucleotide ribosomal RNA is filed under the name uncultured bacterium. RNAcentral's name for it is "partial 16S ribosomal RNA". It matches the Rfam family "Bacterial small subunit ribosomal RNA", at positions 524 to 776 of the family's 1533-position model. The record is from RNAcentral.
UACGAAGGGGGCUAGCGUUGCUCGGAAUGACUGGGCGUAAAGGGCGCGUAGGCGGAUGGCACAGUCAGAUGUGAAAUUCCCGGGCUUAACCUGGGGGGCUGCAUUUGAUACGUGUUGUCUUGAGUUCGGAAGAGGGCCGUGGAAUUCCCAGUGUAGAGGUGAAAUUCGUAGAUAUUGGGAAGAACACCGGUGGCGAAGGCGGCGACCUGGUCCGACACUGACGCUGAGGCGCGAAAGCGUGGGGAGCAAACAGG